UACAGAGGUGGCGAGCGUUGUUCGGAUUUACUGGGCGUAAAGGGCGCGUAGGCGGUACAGUAUGUCGGGUGUGAAAUCUCCAGGCUCAACCUGGAAAGUGCGCCCGAAACUGCUGAACUUGAGUGCGGGAGGGGAGAUCGGAAUACAUGGUGUAGCGGUGAAAUGCGUUGAUAUCAUGUAGAACACCGGUGGCGAAGGCGGAUCUCUGGAACGCAACUGACGCUGAGGCGCGAAAGUCGGGGGAGCAAACAGG
This 253-nucleotide ribosomal RNA is filed under the name uncultured bacterium. Its description in RNAcentral is "partial 16S ribosomal RNA". It matches the Rfam family "Bacterial small subunit ribosomal RNA", at positions 524 to 776 of the family's 1533-position model. The record is from RNAcentral.